Molecule: ribosomal RNA, 254 nt
Filed under: uncultured bacterium
Lineage: Bacteria
Description: partial 16S ribosomal RNA
Rfam family: Bacterial small subunit ribosomal RNA
Source: RNAcentral
GACAGAGGUGCCAAGCGUUAGGCGGAAUCACUGGGCUUAAAGCGCGUGUAGGCGGCCCGGCACGUCCGUCGCUGAAAUCCCCCGGCUCAACCGGGGAAGUGGCGUGGAUACGACCGGGCUGGAGGGGGGUAGGGGGAGCCGGAACUUCCGGUGGAGCGGUGAAAUGCGUUGAGAUCGGAAGGAACGCCCGUGGCGAAAGCGGGCUCCUGGACCCCACCUGACGCUGAGACGCGAAAGCCAGGGGAGCGAACGGG